This 490-nucleotide ribosomal RNA is filed under the name uncultured bacterium. Its description in RNAcentral is "partial 16S ribosomal RNA". It matches the Rfam family "Bacterial small subunit ribosomal RNA", at positions 30 to 507 of the family's 1533-position model. The record is from RNAcentral.
AUUGAACGCUGGCGGCAGGCCUAACACAUGCAAGUCGAACGGUAACAGGAAGCAGCUUGCUGCUUCGCUGACGAGUGGCGGACGGGUGAGUAAUGUCUGGGAAACUGCCUGAUGGAGGGGGAUAACUACUGGAAACGGUAGCUAAUACCGCAUAACGUCGCAAGACCAAAGAGGGGGACCUUAGGGCCUCUUGCCAUCGGAUGUGCCCAGAUGGGAUUAGCUAGUAGGUGGGGUAACGGCUCACCUAGGCGACGAUCCCUAGCUGGUCUGAGAGGAUGACCAGCCACACUGGAACUGAGACACGGUCCAUACUCCUACGGGAGGCAGCAGUGGGGAAUAUUGCACACUGGGCGCAAGCCUGAUGCAGCCAUGCCGCGUGUAUUAAGAAGGCCUUCGGGUUGUAAAGUACUUUCAGCGGGGAGGAAGGGAGUAAAGUUAAUACCUUUGCUCAUUGACGUUACCCGCAGAAGAAGCACCGGCUAACUCCGUG